Long non-coding RNA from Erigeron canadensis, 712 nucleotides. RefSeq lists it as uncharacterized. The transcript has 4 exons. NCBI's taxonomy places the organism in Eukaryota, Viridiplantae, Streptophyta, Magnoliopsida, Asterales, Asteraceae. The record is from RefSeq and is a predicted model, not a curated record.
AAAUGGAGUCUUGAUUGUGGGUGUUUUGAUGACUACGAAAGAGUAUUAAUUGGCGUUUCGAAUUAUCUAUUAGUUCACCGAAGGAAGCUAGUAUUCUUGAUAUCUUUAGAAGCAUACUGAAUCGAAGGCAGCUUAUUGGAGAAAGCACGCCAUUACGACAUUUCCAAAUAACCCAAAAGUAAGUGAGGACUAUCAGACUAAGAAGUUUCCUCUUCGGCGGAUGUAUCAUUGCAUGCUUGUGGACCUCGAAGAGUUCUCUGACAUUUGAAGGCCUAGUGAUCGGGAGAUUGUAUCAAGUAACGAUGGAGUGCCAUAGUGAGGAUGCAAAGGAACAGUGGAUGAAAAGAUGCUCAUUUGUUUCGUUGAAUUUUUGACACAUUGGGCAGGAUGUGGACGCAAUAGCAAUGUUGGGCUGGUUUCAAAUUAAGAGUUAUUUUCAAUUGACUCUCUAUCAGGUCUCGUUGAGUAAGUCUGGUUCUGGUUCAGAACAUUAUGCUGGAAAGGUCAUUCAAGAAGCGGAUAUGAUAUCACUUUGGUAGUGUAAAAUAAUAUUAUCUUUUGUGACGAGAUGUAUUUCAACCUAAGCCAUAGAUCUUUAGUUUAAACUUAGAUACUUUAUUUUUUUUUGGUAGAAAUCACUUUUGAUGUGGAAUUAUUGGUUAAUGAAAUGUAUAAUAGUUUGAAUUCGAUAUUAGAUUCUUUAUUUAUAUAA